GGGCUGGAGCAGGUCCCAAGGGUUUGGCUGUUCGCCAAUUAAAGUGGUACGUGAGCUGGGUUUAAAACGUCGUGAGACAGUUUGGUCCCUAUCUUUCGCGGGCGUAGGAUAUUUGAGGGGAGCUGUCCCUAGUACGAGAGGACCGGGAUGGACGAACCUAUGGUGCUCCAGUUGUCGCGCCAGCGGCAUUGCUGGGUAGCUAUGUUCGGAACGGAUAACCGCUGAAAGCAUCUAAGCGGGAAGCCAACCCCAAGAUUAGAUAUCCCUUUCCCCUGGCAACAGGGGAAACUCAAGACCCCUCGAAGAUGACGAGGUUGAUAGGCCGGAUGUGUAAGUGCGGCAACGCAUUGAGCUUACCGGUACUAAUCGGUCGUGCGGCUUGGCCAC
Molecule: ribosomal RNA, 387 nt
Filed under: Desulfobacteraceae bacterium
Lineage: Bacteria; Pseudomonadati; Thermodesulfobacteriota; Desulfobacteria; Desulfobacterales; Desulfobacteraceae
Description: partial 23S ribosomal RNA
Rfam family: Bacterial large subunit ribosomal RNA
Source: RNAcentral